Molecule: ribosomal RNA, 497 nt
Filed under: uncultured bacterium
Lineage: Bacteria
Description: partial 16S ribosomal RNA
Rfam family: Bacterial small subunit ribosomal RNA
Source: RNAcentral
GACGAACGCUGGCGGCGUGCCUAAUACAUGCAAGUUGAGCGCUGAAGGUUGGUACUUGUACCGACUGGAUGAGCAGCGAACGGGUGAGUAACGCGUGGGGAAUCUGCCUUUGAGCGGGGGACAACAUUUGGAAACGAGUGCUAAUACCGCAUAAAAACUUUAAACACAAGUUUUAAGUUUGAAAGAUGCAAUUGCAUCACUCAAAGAUGAUCCCGCGUUGUAUUAGCUAGUUGGUGAGGUAAAGGCUCACCAAGGCGAUGAUACAUAGCCGACCUGAGAGGGUGAUCGGCCACAUUGGGACUGAGACACGGCCCAAACUCCUACGGGAGGCAGCAGUAGGGAAUCUUCGGCAAUGGACGAAAGUCUGACCGAGCAACGCCGCGUGAGUGAAGAAGGUUUUCGGAUCGUAAAACUCUGUUGGUAGAGAAGAACGUUGGUGAGAGUGGAAAGCUCAUCAAGUGACGGUAACUACCCAGAAAGGGACGGCUAACUACGUG